GGGGCCGACCCGGUUUCGACGUGGGUUGCAAAGCAGUGCAGGGCAUACCGAGGGUUCAGGUUUCCUCGUAAAUCCAUCUGAAAAAGUAUAGUCGCAAACGACGAAACUUACGCUCUAGCCGCUUAAUCCCGGCUGGACGCUGCACCGAAGGGUCUCUCGGUCGGGUGGGCAACCACAGCAGCGUCAUAUAGAGAGACUCGUGUUGUAUCGGGUUACUUGAUACAACAUUAAAUCCAAGGUGACUCGCUUCACAUUCGCUUGCUCGUUGGUGGAUGUGCGGUUAAAUCAAACAACACAGCUAAGUAUGUAGAACUGUCUGUGGAGGACUUGCGGACGCGGGUUCGAUUCCCGCCGGCUCCACCA
RNAcentral lists this transfer-messenger RNA (363 nucleotides) under Methylophilaceae. RNAcentral's name for it is "UBA6140 sp002842435 Standard tmRNA". It matches the Rfam family "transfer-messenger RNA". Rfam says of the family: Bacterial tmRNA, also known as 10Sa RNA or SsrA, is named for its dual tRNA and mRNA-like properties. Its role is to liberate the mRNA from a stalled ribosome. RNAcentral also lists the same sequence under 1 other name. The record is from RNAcentral. Lineage: Bacteria; Pseudomonadati; Pseudomonadota; Betaproteobacteria; Nitrosomonadales.